RNAcentral lists this ribosomal RNA (202 nucleotides) under Vibrio crassostreae ZF-91. RNAcentral's name for it is "partial 23S ribosomal RNA". It matches the Rfam family "Bacterial large subunit ribosomal RNA", at positions 2599 to 2800 of the family's 2925-position model. Lineage: Bacteria; Pseudomonadati; Pseudomonadota; Gammaproteobacteria; Vibrionales; Vibrionaceae. The record is from RNAcentral.
CGCGAGCUGGGUUUAGAACGUCGUGAGACAGUUCGGUCCCUAUCUGCCGUGGGCGUUGGAAAAUUGAAAGGGGCUGCUCCUAGUACGAGAGGACCGGAGUGGACGAACCUCUGGUGUUCGGGUUGUCAUGCCAAUGGCAUUGCCCGGUAGCUAAGUUCGGAAUCGAUAACCGCUGAAAGCAUCUAAGCGGGAAGCGAGCCUU